This 465-nucleotide ribosomal RNA is filed under the name uncultured bacterium. RNAcentral describes it as "partial 16S ribosomal RNA". It matches the Rfam family "Bacterial small subunit ribosomal RNA", at positions 338 to 795 of the family's 1533-position model. The record is from RNAcentral.
CCUACGGGAGGCAGCAGUGGGGAAUAUUGCGCAAUGGGCGAAAGCCUGACGCAGCGACGCCGCGGGAGGGAUGAAGGUAUUCGGAUCGUAAACCUCUGUCAGCAGGGAAGAACGGUCACUGUGCUAAUCAGCAGUGAAUUGACGGUACCUGCAAAGGAAGCACCGGCUAACUCCGUGCCAGCAGCCGCGGUAAUACGGAGGGUGCGAGCGUUAAUCGGAAUUACUGGGCGUAAAGCGCUCGUAGGCGGUAUGUCAAGUCAAGGGGGAAAUCCCCGCGCUCAACGUGGGAACUGCCUUUGAAACUGGCAAACUGGAGUGUGUGAGAGGAUAGUGGAAUUCCAGGUGUAGGAGUGAAAUCCGUAGAUAUCUGGAGGAACAUCAGUGGCGAAGGCGACUAUCUGGCACAUAACUGACGCUGAGGAGCGAAAGCGUGGGUAGCAAACAGGAUUAGAUACCCGAGUAGUC